GAUUUCUGGUAUGGCGCGCUUGGCCCGCCGAGGUUACUCGGUUGUGUGCCGGCGUGCGCCUGCCAUCCUUCUGGGGAACGGCUCUACCCUUCACUGGGUGGGAGUCGGUAUCCAGAUCUUUUACUUUGAAAAAAUUAGAGUGUUUAAAGCAGGCUUACGCUAUGAAUACAUUAGCAUGGAAUAAUAAUUUAGGACUUUGGUCUUAUUUUGUUGGUUUCUAGGACUAAAGUAAUGAUUGAUAGGGAUAGUUGGGGGUGCUAGUAUUCAGCGGCCAGAGGUGAAAUUCUUGGAUUCGCUGAAGACUAACUUAUGCGAAAGCAUU
RNAcentral lists this ribosomal RNA (322 nucleotides) under uncultured Eocercomonas. Its description in RNAcentral is "SSU rRNA". The stretch from base 83 to 322 matches the Rfam family "Eukaryotic small subunit ribosomal RNA", at positions 714 to 955 of the family's 1831-position model. Lineage: Eukaryota; Cercozoa; Cercomonadida; Cercomonadidae. The record is from RNAcentral.